Molecule: transfer RNA, 86 nt
Filed under: Candidatus Nanopelagicus hibericus
Lineage: Bacteria; Bacillati; Actinomycetota; Actinomycetes; Candidatus Nanopelagicales; Candidatus Nanopelagicaceae
Also listed under: 2 other names
Description: tRNA-Tyr
Rfam family: tRNA
About the family: Transfer RNA (tRNA) molecules are approximately 80 nucleotides in length. Their secondary structure includes four short double-helical elements and three loops (D, anti-codon, and T loops).
Source: RNAcentral
GGCGGGUUGCCCGAGCGGCCAAUGGGAGGGGACUGUAAAUCCCCCGGCUUAUGCCUUCGUAGGUUCAAAUCCUUCACCCGCCACCA